RNAcentral lists this ribosomal RNA (549 nucleotides) under Filobasidium magnum. RNAcentral's name for it is "partial large subunit ribosomal RNA". It matches the Rfam family "Eukaryotic large subunit ribosomal RNA", at positions 88 to 606 of the family's 3401-position model. The record is from RNAcentral. Lineage: Eukaryota; Fungi; Basidiomycota; Tremellomycetes; Filobasidiales; Filobasidiaceae.
GGCGAGUGUGGCGGGAAGAGCUCAAAUUUGAAAUCUGGUGGCCUCAGGUCAUCCGAGUUGUAAUCUAUAGAAGUGUUUUCCGUGCUGGCUCAUGUACAAGUCCCUUGGAACAGGGCGUCAUAGAGGGUGAGAAUCCCGUCCUUGACAUGAACUACCAGUGCUCUGUGAUACAUUUUCAACGAGUCGAGUUGUUUGGGAAUGCAGCUCAAAAUGGGUGGUAAAUUCCAUCUAAAGCUAAAUAUUGGCGAGAGACCGAUAGCGAACAAGUACCGUGAGGGAAAGAUGAAAAGCACUUUGGAAAGAGAGUUAAACAGUAUGUGAAAUUGUUGAAAGGGAAACGAUUGAAGUCAGUCGUGCUCUUUGGAUUCAGCCGGUUCUGCCGGUGUACUUCCUUUGAGUGGGGUCAACAUCAGUUUUGAUCGCUGGAUAAAGGCUGGAGGAACGUAGUACCCUCGGGUAAACUUAUAGCCUCCUGUCACAUACAGUGGUUGGGACUGAGGAACGCAGCACGCCUUUAUGGCCGGGAUUCGUCCACGUACGUGCUUAGGA